GGUUAAGCGACUAAGCGUACACGGUGGAUGCCCUGGCAGUCAGAGGCGAUGAAGGACGUGCUAAUCUGCGAAAAGCGCCGGCGAGGUGAUAUGAACCCUUGACCCGGCGAUGUCCGAAUGGGGAAACCCAGUGCAAUCCGUUGCACUAUCGUUAACUGAAUACAUAGGUUAACGAGGCGAACCGGGGGAACUGAAACAUCUAAGUACCCCGAGGAAAAGAAAUCAACCGAGAUUCCCCCAGUAGCGGCGAGCGAACGGGGAGCAGCCCGGAGUCUGAAUCAGCUUGUGUGUUAGUGGAACGGUCUGGAAAGUCCGACGGUACAGGGUGAUAGUCCCGUACACGAAAAUGCACAUGCUGUGAACUCGAAGAGUAGGGCGGGACACGUGGUAUCCUGUCUGAAUAUGGGGGGACCAUCCUCCAAGGCUAAAUACUCCUGACUGACCGAUAGUGAACCAGUACCGUGAGGGAAAGGCGAAAAGAACCCCGGCGAGGGGAGUGAAAAAGAACCUGAAACCGUGUACGUACAAGCAGUGGGAGCCUCUUUAUGGGGUGACUGCGUACCUUUUGUAUAAUGGGUCAGCGACUUAUAUUCUGUAGCAAGGUUAACCGUAUAGGGGAGCCGAAGGGAAACCGAGUCUUAACUGGGCGUUAAGUUGCAGGGUAUAGACCCGAAACCCGGUGAUCUAGCCAUGGGCAGGUUGAAGGUUGGGUAACACUAACUGGAGGACCGAACCGACUAAUGUUGAAAAAUUAGCGGAUGACCUGUGGCUGGGGGUGAAAGGCCAAUCAAACCGGGAGAUAGCUGGUUCUCCCCGAAAGCUAUUUAGGUAGCGCCUCGUGAACUCAUCUUCGGGGGUAGAGCACUGUUUCGGCUAGGGGGCCAUCCCGGCUUACCAACCCGAUGCAAACUACGAAUACCGAAGAAUGUUAUCACGGGAGACACACGGCGGGUGCUAACGUCCGUCGUGAAGAGGGAAACAACCCAGACCGCCAGCUAAGGUCCCAAAGUCAUGGUUAAGUGGGAAACGAUGUGGGAAGGCACAGACAGCCAGGAUGUUGGCUUAGAAGCAGCCAUCAUUUAAAGAAAGCGUAAUAGCUCACUGGUCGAGUCGGCCUGCGCGGAAGAUGUAACGGGGCUAAACCAUGCACCGAAGCUGCGGCAGCGACACUAUGUGUUGUUGGGUAGGGGAGCGUUCUGUAAGCCGUUGAAGGUGUGCUGUGAGGCAUGCUGGAGGUAUCAGAAGUGCGAAUGCUGACAUAAGUAACGAUAAAGCGGGUGAAAAGCCCGCUCGCCGGAAGACCAAGGGUUCCUGUCCAACGUUAAUCGGGGCAGGGUGAGUCGACCCCUAAGGCGAGGCCGAAAGGCGUAGUCGAUGGGAAACAGGUUAAUAUUCCUGUACUUGGUGUUACUGCGAAGGGGGGACGGAGAAGGCUAUGUCAGCCGGGCGACGGUUGUCCCGGUUUAAGCAUGUAGGCGGAGGUUCCAGGUAAAUCCGGUACCUUGUUAACGCUGAGGUGUGAUGACGAGGCACUACGGUGCUGAAGUGAUAAAUGCCCUGCUUCCAGGAAAAGCCUCUAAGCAUCAGGUAACACGAAAUCGUACCCCAAACCGACACAGGUGGUCAGGUAGAGAAUACCAAGGCGCUUGAGAGAACUCGGGUGAAGGAACUAGGCAAAAUGGUGCCGUAACUUCGGGAGAAGGCACGCUGAUAUGUAGGUGAAGCCCCUGCGGGUGGAGCUGAAAUCAGUCGAAGAUACCAGCUGGCUGCAACUGUUUAUUAAAAACACAGCACUGUGCAAACACGAAAGUGGACGUAUACGGUGUGACGCCUGCCCGGUGCCGGAAGGUUAAUUGAUGGGGUUAGCGGCAACGCGAAGCUCUUGAUCGAAGCCCCGGUAAACGGCGGCCGUAACUAUAACGGUCCUAAGGUAGCGAAAUUCCUUGUCGGGUAAGUUCCGACCUGCACGAAUGGCGUAAUGAUGGCCAGGCUGUCUCCACCCGAGACUCAGUGAAAUUGAACUCGCUGUGAAGAUGCAGUGUACCCGCGGCAAGACGGAAAGACCCCGUGAACCUUUACUAUAGCUUGACACUGAACACUGGUCCUUGAUGUGUAGGAUAGGUGGGAGGCUUUGAAGCGUGGACGCCAGUCUGCGUGGAGCCAACCUUGAAAUACCACCCUUUAAUGGCUGGUGUUCUAACGUGGACCCGUUACCCGGGUUGCGGACAGUGUCUGGUGGGUAGUUUGACUGGGGCGGUCUCCUCCCAAAGAGUAACGGAGGAGCACGAAGGUUGGCUAAUCCUGGUCGGACAUCAGGAGGUUAGUGCAAUGGCAUAAGCCAGCUUGACUGCGAGCGUGACGGCGCGAGCAGGUGCGAAAGCAGGUCAUAGUGAUCCGGUGGUUCUGAAUGGAAGGGCCAUCGCUCAACGGAUAAAAGGUACUCCGGGGAUAACAGGCUGAUACCGCCCAAGAGUUCAUAUCGACGGCGGUGUUUGGCACCUCGAUGUCGGCUCAUCACAUCCUGGGGCUGAAGUAGGUCCCAAGGGUAUGGCUGUUCGCCAUUUAAAGUGGUACGCGAGCUGGGUUUAGAACGUCGUGAGACAGUUCGGUCCCUAUCUGCCGUGGGCGCUGGAGAAUUGAGGGGGGCUGCUCCUAGUACGAGAGGACCGGAGUGGACGCAUCACUGGUGUUCGGGUUGUCAUGCCAAUGGCACUGCCCGGUAGCUAAAUGCGGAAGAGAUAAGUGCUGAAAGCAUCUAAGCACGAAACUUGCCCCGAGAUGAGUUCUCCCUGAGACCUUGAGUCUCCUGAAGGAACGUUGAAGACGAUGACGUUGAUAGGUCGGGUGUGUAAGCGCAGCGAUGCGUUGAGCUAACCGAUACUAAUGAACCGUGAGGCUUAACCUU
Molecule: ribosomal RNA, 2905 nt
Filed under: Enterobacter hormaechei
Lineage: Bacteria; Pseudomonadati; Pseudomonadota; Gammaproteobacteria; Enterobacterales; Enterobacteriaceae
Description: 23S ribosomal RNA
Rfam family: Bacterial large subunit ribosomal RNA
Source: RNAcentral